This 403-nucleotide ribosomal RNA is filed under the name uncultured bacterium. Its description in RNAcentral is "partial 16S ribosomal RNA". It matches the Rfam family "Bacterial small subunit ribosomal RNA", at positions 29 to 526 of the family's 1533-position model. The record is from RNAcentral.
AUUAAACGCUGGCGGCAGGCCUAACACAUGCAAGUCGAGCGAGCGGCGGACGGGUGAGUAAUGUAUGGGGACUGCCCGUUAGAGGGGGAGCACUACUGGAAACGAUAACUAAUACCGCACACGAUCGGAUAACCCAUAUGGGAUUAGCGAGUAGGUGAGGUAAUGGCCCACCGAGGAGACGAUCCCUAGCUGGUCUGUGAGGAUGAUCAGCAACACUGGGACUGAGAAACGGCCCAGACUCCUACGGAGGCAGCAGGGGGGAAUAUUGCGCAAUGGGCGCCAGCCUGAUGCAGCCAUGCCGCGGGCAUGAAGAAGGCCCUAGGGGUGUAAAGUACUUUCAGUCGGGAGGCGUUACCGACAGAAGAAGCACCGGCUAACUCCGUGCCAGCAGCCGCGGUAAUUC